Molecule: long non-coding RNA, 1735 nt
Filed under: Callithrix jacchus (white-tufted-ear marmoset)
Lineage: Eukaryota; Metazoa; Chordata; Mammalia; Primates; Cebidae
Description: lncRNA (ENSCJAG00000079027.1)
Source: RNAcentral
AUGAUUAUCAGUCCACGAUUAUUAAUAUCUCUAAGGUUUUGCUCAUGCUAUCCUCUCCCUUCCUGGAAAACCCUCCCCACCUCAAGGGUUACUUCCUCCAAGAAGCAUUCCUGGUGGUCUUCUGGCUGCCGGCCUCCUAGGUACCGCAGCCGCCACUGCCAGGGCCAGGAACCUCUUCAGCACUACGGACAGCGCUCAUUCGCCCAUUCACAGCCGGCGCCUCAGCCGGCAUCGUUUCAGAACGACGGACAGCUCCUGGCGCAACCCCAGCCGGGCCCUGGCGGCAGGGCUCACACACCCCAGGCGCUCCAUCAGCACCUGGGCACACUUGGGGUCAAGGCCAACAAUGAGAAGAAAGGUUCCCCCGGAUUGCCAUGCUGCCCCCGGAGCCCCUCUUCAGCAAGAAUCUCCCUCGCCGUCGCCAAAGACGUCCCAAGCAGCAGACCUGAGCCAGAGGAAAAGGAGGCAUCUCUGCUAAUCCUCCCACCCAGUUCCUGAGAAGAAAGCACCAGGACCCCUGGAAGCCACAUGCUGUGUUGGCCUGGCUGCUGCUCCCCACUACUCCUUGGGGUUAAAGGCCUGGUGCCCCCUCCCAUCACCUCCAGCCACACCUCUCCUGUCUUCAAAAGCCUAGAAGGCUAGUCCUUCCUCACUCUAAAGUCCUUUCAGAAAAACUUCUGAAACAGUGUGUCUCAAACUGCUAUAAAGUCAUAAAGAUUUUUCACAAGAGAUCCCCUAGAUAUAUACAGAUAUAGGCAAUUAAGCAAGUGCUGCACAACAUACUACUUACCUUUGUGAAAUAUGAUGCACUCCGAUAGUUUCUAUUGUGAUUGCUAUGCUAUGCUGUGCUGUGCUAUGCUAUGCUAUGCUAUGCUAUGCUAUGCUAUGCUAUGCUAUGCUAUUCUUUUAAGAGCUCAUUAUAACUGACCAAGUGGAUUUCACAACUUUCUAAGGAAUCUAAGUCUGCAGCUAAAAUACUCCAAAAAUUCCAGCAAAGACAAAAACUCAGGCCUAGAUUUGCCACCAGUGCCCUCUCCUGGGCAGCUUUAUUAUAAGUCGUGUCUCAUAACAUUGUUUAAUUGUCAUAAACAUUGUUUAAUUGUCAACAUCUGUGUGUGUGUACUGAGUCUCGCCAGGAAAUAGAUGAUUUAUGUCGGUUACAACCUAAAAGAUUUAAGAAGCAAUGUUUAGAAAUGUUCUGAUAAAUAAAGGCUGAGCUAAAAGGGCAUUGUGUAUAUGUGUGUGUGUGAGAGAGAGAAAGGCUUUCAUCAGAGGUUGUACAGAUUUUCCUCUGCGAUCUCCUCUCUUCCUGCAAAUCAGCCAGAGGUGGGAUCUCAGGAACCUAUCCCUGCCUCCCCAAAGCCAUCCUCACAUGAGGCCAGCCUGGGAAGAGGACAGCAGAGCUCACAUCUCUGUGGAGAGGAGGCUGGGCUCAAUGCAGGCCUCUGUGUCUUUGGUCAUCUUCACUUCAUAGGUCUUGUCCUGAGACCCUCCUGCUGACACACCAUGGUUGCAUGGCUCUCCCAGGAAAGAACCUAUGAUGUUCAAGAUGGAGAAAAUCAUUAGGCACUGCUAACCCGACACCCCCACGCUUUGCUCAGCACACAUGCAUGCAUUACUCAUGUACACACACAUGUAUAUGUGUGCAUAAACAUGCACACAUACACACACACAUGUAUACACAUGUGAACAUGCAUGCAGUUUCUGUGGCCUCAUUAUCCUGUGAUGGCCUAUG